RNAcentral lists this long non-coding RNA (239 nucleotides) under Capsicum annuum. RNAcentral's name for it is "long non-coding RNA (CANN_LNC022535)". Lineage: Eukaryota; Viridiplantae; Streptophyta; Magnoliopsida; Solanales; Solanaceae. The record is from RNAcentral.
UUUCAUAGCUCUAUAAGUUUCAACUAAACUCCUUUUGCAACCUCAAGGAAAGUCUAAAUUAACAAUACUCAACCACCAAAUUCUUCAUGAAUAUCAUAUACGUUUCUAACAUAAUAAAUAUCAUCAAUAACUCCUUUCUGGCUUUAAGCAAAUAAUAAUUCACCUUAACUAAUAACUCAUUAUCUACCUUCCUCCAAGGAACUUAUACCACAUUCAUUACCCCUAAACUGACACACAAG